GGCAUUGGAACACCAGUUCCUGUAUGAUCGCCAAAGUUAAGCAAUGUUGAGCCUGGUCAGUAGCUAGAUGAGUGAGCACUUGGGAAUAUCAAGUGCUGUAAG
Acanthosepion pharaonis is the source of this 102-nucleotide non-coding RNA. Lineage: Eukaryota; Metazoa; Mollusca; Cephalopoda; Sepiida; Sepiidae. The record is from the annotation of a GenBank genome assembly.